This 450-nucleotide ribosomal RNA is filed under the name uncultured bacterium. RNAcentral's name for it is "partial 16S ribosomal RNA". It matches the Rfam family "Bacterial small subunit ribosomal RNA", at positions 338 to 795 of the family's 1533-position model. The record is from RNAcentral.
CCUACGGGGGGCUGCAGUGGGGAAUAUUGGACAAUGGGGGCAACCCUGAUCCAGCGACGCCGCGUGUGUGAAGAAGGCCUGCGGGUUGUCAAGCACUUUUAGUGGGGAGGAAGGUCUGCGACCUAACACGUCGUGGAAUUGACUUAACCCACAGAAAAAGCACCGGCUAACUCUGUGCCAGCAGCCGCGGUAAUACAGAGGGUGCAAGCUGUAAUCGGAAUUACUGGGCGUGGUGCGUGAGGAGGGGGUUGAAAGCCCCGGGCUCAACCUGGUAAUUGCAUUCGAGACUGCGAAGCUGGAGUGCGGAAGAGGGAAGUGGAAUUUCCGGUGUAGCGGUGAAAUGCGUAGAUAUCGGAAGGAACAUCAGUGGCGAAAGCGACUUCCUGGUCCAGCACUGACGCUCAGGCACGAAAGCGUGGGGAGCAAACAGGAUUAGAUACCCGGGUAGUC